RNAcentral lists this transfer RNA (72 nucleotides) under Balanoglossus carnosus. Its description in RNAcentral is "tRNA-Pro". It matches the Rfam family "tRNA". From Rfam's summary of the family: Transfer RNA (tRNA) molecules are approximately 80 nucleotides in length. Their secondary structure includes four short double-helical elements and three loops (D, anti-codon, and T loops). The record is from RNAcentral. Lineage: Eukaryota; Metazoa; Hemichordata; Enteropneusta; Ptychoderidae.
CAGAGGGUCGUUUAGCGGCUAAGAUUCCCGCUUUGGGGGCGGGCGACAUGGGUUCGAGUCCUUUCCCUUUGA